This 422-nucleotide ribosomal RNA is filed under the name uncultured bacterium. RNAcentral describes it as "partial 16S ribosomal RNA". It matches the Rfam family "Bacterial small subunit ribosomal RNA", at positions 360 to 774 of the family's 1533-position model. The record is from RNAcentral.
AAUAUUGGACAAUGGGGGCAACCCUGAUCCAGCCAUGCCGCGUGUGUGAAGAAGGUCUUCGGAUUGUAAAGCACUUUAAGUUGGGAGGAAGGGCUUUAGGUUAAUACCAUGUGGUUUUGAGGUUACCAACAGAAUAAGGACCGCUUAACUCUGUGCCAGCAGACGCGGUAAUACAGAGGGUGAAAGCGUUAAUCGGAAUUACUGGGCGUAAAGCGCGCGUAGGUGGUUCAGUAAGAUGGGUGUGAAAUCCCCGGGCUCAACCUGGGAACUGCUUUCAUAACUGCUGAGCUAGAGUACGGUAGAGGGUAGUGGAAUUUCCUGUGUAGCGGUGAAAUGCGUAGAUAUAGGAAGGAACACCAGUGGCGAAGGCGACUACCUGGACUGAUACUGACACUGAGGUGCGAAAGCGUGGGGAGCAAACA